RNAcentral lists this ribosomal RNA (500 nucleotides) under uncultured bacterium. RNAcentral describes it as "partial 16S ribosomal RNA". It matches the Rfam family "Bacterial small subunit ribosomal RNA", at positions 30 to 523 of the family's 1533-position model. The record is from RNAcentral.
AUUGAACGCUGGCGGAAUGCUUUACACAUGCAAGUCGAACGGCAGCACGGGGGCAACCCUGGUGGCGAGUGGCGGACGGGUGAGUAAUACAUCGGAACGUGCCCAGCCGUGGGGGAUAACGUAGUGAAAAUUACGCUAAUACCGCAUACGAUCUAUGGAUGAAAGCGGGGGAUCGCAAGACCUCGCGCGAUUGGAGCGGCCGAUAUCAGAUUAGGUAGUUGGUGGGGGAAAGGCCCACCAAGCCAACGAUCUGUAGCUGGUCUGAGAGGACGACCAGCCACACUGGAACUGAGACACGGUCCAGACUCCUACGGGAGGCAGCAGUGGGGAAUUUUGGACAAUGGGCGAAAGCCUGAUCCAGCCAUUCCGCGUGCAGGAUGAAGGCCCUCGGGUUGUAAACUGCUUUUGUACAGAACGAAAAGGUUUCUACUAAUACUAGGAGCUCAUGACGGUACUGUAAGAAUAAGCACCGGCUAACUACGUGCCAGCAGCCGCGGUAA